GUCUACAGCCAUACCACCCUGGGCACGCCCAAUCUUGUCUGAUCUCGGAAGCUAAGCAGGGUCAGGCCUGGUUAGUACUUGGAUGGGAGAAAUGAUUACCACAAUUUACCACAAUGAAACUAUUAAACAUCAGUCA
Erinaceus europaeus (western European hedgehog) is the source of this 136-nucleotide ribosomal RNA. The record is from Ensembl. NCBI's taxonomy places the organism in Eukaryota, Metazoa, Chordata, Mammalia, Eulipotyphla, Erinaceidae.